Molecule: long non-coding RNA, 352 nt
Organism: Xiphophorus hellerii (green swordtail)
Lineage: Eukaryota; Metazoa; Chordata; Actinopteri; Cyprinodontiformes; Poeciliidae
Exons: 3
Source: RefSeq, a predicted model, not a curated record
CAACACAAGCGCCCAAAGAGAUAAAUGUGCCGUAAAACAUGAAGCUUUUCACUCCUCUAAAAGACCUUCUGUUGAUGUAUUUAAUGUUUCAUAACUAAAUGAGAAGACGGACGUUUAGUGGCUGAUUCUGAUCUUCUGAUUCCAGCUCUAACGCACUGGAUCUGGCGCUUUGCAUCGGCUGGACCUGAACCGCUGCUUCACCAGAUCCACCAGGUUCUCUGGUUUCUAUGGAAGCCCAAAAGCCGACUGAUCUCAUGCUGAGCUGGAGGAACAUCACAGCGAUGCGGUCCGGACCCGGAUACCUGUGGUGGAGCCAACGAUGGCCGUGUUCUGGUCCACGGCCUCCAGGAAC